CAAUUUUGCAUGCCCAGUAGUAAAUUUCCUUUCUAACAGGUACCCUAAAAAGUCGGUCCAGCUAGAGGAACCGAACCAGAAUUUUUAUUUUAAUGGGAUUAUUUAUUUAUUUAUUUAUUUAUUUAUUUAUUCAUUCAUUCAUUCAUUCAUUCAUUCAUUCAUUCAUUCAUUCAUUAAAUUUAUACCCCGCCCCUCUCGACUAUGUUUACUCGGGGCGGCUUACAACAUAAAAUAGAACAAUAUAAAAUAUAAAUAAUCAUAAAAUACAAUUAAUAUAUUAGUUAAUACAAUUAGAUUAAAAUUAGCAGAAUGGAAUGAGAUGAGAGAAAGAAAAUAAAAAACUUAGCUGACUAAGGCCUGCGUAAAUAGCCAAGUUUUUAAUUGCUUUUUAGACAUUUCUUGAGCAAUUCCAGAGGGACCUGCAUGAUGAAGAUGUUGGUUUGGGGGGGCAUGGGGCAUAGCUAGCUAGCCCCAUGACUGUGGUGGGUAGUGCAGAAAGACCAAGUUCCAGACCAAAUUUCGGUGAACUUGCAAACUUCUCUUUGACUGCAUCACUCUGGGGUUUCUGAUGGGGUGGCAAUAAUCAGGGUAGUUGGAGCUGCAAUUAAAGAAAUGAUUCCAAUCCAGUGAACCCUGGAAAUUAUCAAGCUCCGAUGAGGUGCUUUGUUUCUUCUCUCUAGAACACCACGACCUGUUGAGCAGCAAAGAACCAAUGAUUUCUGCCAGCAAAUGGACUGAAUCGGGAAUAGGAAGGAACUCGGUUGAAUAGAAAAUAAAUCACUGAGACUAAUAAAUAGGUGCACUCCUAGAUUUGGAGAGGACACCAGAAUUGCACAGCGGCCUGUUUGUUUUCUCCGUCUCCUGCUUGAGAUCCCAACCAAGCUUAAGACAUGCAGUCUGGCAGCAUCUUCAUUGCUGUAUUUUUAUUAAUGAUCUUGGCUUCCCCAGGGGAUGCGUACAUCGGGAUAGAUGCGACAAAUUCUGAAAUGUGCAAUAGCAUGAAGGGCACCUGUACAACGAAUCCUCAGUGCAAUCGUCAAUUUCUAGGAAAAUGUGCGGAAGGAAUCUGGUGUUGCUUACAGUGUCCAGCCACUGAUGUCCAACAUUUCAAAAGUCUGAAGUAUUUCCAUGGCUCAAUAGUUGUUCAAUGAAUGCAAAUCAGCCACAGUUAACCCCUUUUGUCAUUAUCGUCACCAUCAUGAUGAUCAGCCGUGAAGUCAAUUCUGGCUUGCUCUACUCACAGCAGGCACUGAGGGGAAUGGCGCUCUCGGCUUCUGGCUCCUCAGUCAGCUCCCUGAGCCAUGAAGCCCUCUAGUUAAGGCUCAUUAUAUUCCCAGAUAUUCAGCAGUCUUUGGCCUGAAGAACAAUAAAGACAUACAAUGGUGCCCCA
RNAcentral lists this long non-coding RNA (1390 nucleotides) under Pogona vitticeps (central bearded dragon). RNAcentral describes it as "lncRNA (ENSPVIG00000001551.1)". The record is from RNAcentral. Lineage: Eukaryota; Metazoa; Chordata; Lepidosauria; Squamata; Agamidae.